This 255-nucleotide ribosomal RNA is filed under the name uncultured bacterium. RNAcentral's name for it is "partial 16S ribosomal RNA". It matches the Rfam family "Bacterial small subunit ribosomal RNA", at positions 99 to 354 of the family's 1533-position model. The record is from RNAcentral.
CGGACGGGUGAGUAACGCGUGGGUAACCUGCCUUGCACUGGGGGAUAACACUUAGAAAUAGGUGCUAAUACCGCAUAAGCGCACGGUCCUGCAUGGGACAGUGUGAAAAACUCCGAUGGUGCAAGAUGGACCCGCGUCUGAUUAGCUGGUUGGCGGGGUAAAGGCCCACCAAGGCGACGAUCAGUAGCCGGCCUGAGAGGGUGGACGGCCACAUUGGGACUGAGACACGGCCCAAACUCCUACGGGAGGCAGCAG